AGUCUCCUGGAAAGGAGUGUCAUAGAGGGUGAUAACCCCGUACUUGAUGUGGACGCCCAAGGCUUUGUGAUACAUCUUCGACGAGUCGAGUUGUUUGGGAAUGCAGCUCCAAAUGGGUGGUAAAUUCCAUCUAAAGCUAAAUAUUGGGGAGAGACCGAUAGCGAACAAGUACCGUGAGGGAAAGAUGAAAAGCACUUUGGAAAGAGAGUUAAACAGUACGUGAAAUUGUCAAAAGGGAAGCACUGGAGGUUAGACGUGUGUCGUUGGAUUCAGCUUUUUCUAAAAGUGUAUUUCCGGCGGUACAGGCCAGCAUCGGUUUUCUGGGCCGGAUAAGGGGGAGAGGAACGUAGCUUUCUUCGGAAAGUGUUAUAGCCUCUUUCUUGAUACGGCUUGGGGGACCGAGGCAUGCAGCGCGCCUUUUUGGCGGACCUUCGGGUACCUUCGCGCUUAGGAUGCUGGCGUAAUGGCCUUCAGUGACCCGUCUUGAAACACGGACCAAGGAGUCUAACAUGUCUGCGAGUCUUUGGGUGGCAAACCCGUGGGCGCAAUGAAAGUGAAUGCAGGUGGGAUCCUUCGGGAGCACCAUCGACCGGUCUCGAAGCUUUAUGUGGAAGGAUCUGAGUAAGAGCAUAUAUGUUGGGACCCGAAAGAUGGUGAACUAUGCCUGAAUAGGGUGAAGCCAGAGGAAACUCUGGUGGAGGCUCGUAGCGGUUCUGACGUGCAAAUCGAUCGUCAAAUUUGGGUAUAGGGGCGAAAGACUAAUCGAACCAUUAAAAGAAGUAAAAACGUAUCAUGUAAAAAAGCAUGUCUGCUCCAACGCGGACUAUAACGUCUUGGCUG
RNAcentral lists this ribosomal RNA (840 nucleotides) under Laurobasidium hachijoense. Its description in RNAcentral is "LSU rRNA". It matches the Rfam family "Eukaryotic large subunit ribosomal RNA", at positions 184 to 1394 of the family's 3401-position model. The record is from RNAcentral. Lineage: Eukaryota; Fungi; Basidiomycota; Exobasidiomycetes; Exobasidiales; Cryptobasidiaceae.